CUUUUAAAUAUAUAUAUUUUUUUAAUUGUAUGAGUUUCUACUAAAAAAUUACUAUUGAAGUUGGUCUAAGUUGCGAGACCAAAUUUUUAUAUGCUUUCGGUUCGAAUUGACAUUUCUCUGUGUAAACGAAGCAUCAAU
Molecule: small RNA, 138 nt
Filed under: Arabidopsis thaliana (thale cress)
Lineage: Eukaryota; Viridiplantae; Streptophyta; Magnoliopsida; Brassicales; Brassicaceae
Description: ATSL295690
Source: RNAcentral